Podarcis lilfordi (Lilford's wall lizard) is the source of this 113-nucleotide non-coding RNA. The record is from the annotation of a GenBank genome assembly. NCBI's taxonomy places the organism in Eukaryota, Metazoa, Chordata, Lepidosauria, Squamata, Lacertidae.
UUCUGCAGCCAUAUUGCCUUGAACGUGCCUGUCUGAUCCCAGAAUCUAAGAAGAGUUGGCCAUGGCUGGUAGUGAGAUGGGGAAUCACUUGAGAAUUCCAGGUGCUGUAGGCU